Molecule: ribosomal RNA, 115 nt
Filed under: uncultured bacterium
Lineage: Bacteria
Description: partial 16S ribosomal RNA
Rfam family: Bacterial small subunit ribosomal RNA
Source: RNAcentral
CGUGGGGAAGACGGCCUUCGGGUUGUAAACCCCUUUCAGUUGGGACGAAGGUUCGCCGGUGAAUAGCCGGUUGGACUGACGGUACCUUCAGAAGAAGCCCCGGCUAACUACGUGC